UGGAUCCAGACUUUGAUCCUGGCUCAGGAUGAACGCUGGCGGCGUGCCUAACACAUGCAAGUCGAACGGAGAUAAGAUGAAACCUAGUGAUUCUUAUCUUAGUGGCGGACGGGUGAGUAACACGUGGGUAACCUGCCUUGCACUGGGGGAUAACACUUAGAAAUAGGUGCUAAAACCGCAUAAGCGCACAGUCUCGCAUGAGACAGUGUGAAAAACUGAGGUGGUGUAAGAUGGACCCGCGUCUGGUUAGCUAGUUGGUGAGGUAAUGGCCCCCAAGGCGACGAUCAGUAGCCGGCCUGAGAGGGUGACCGGCCACAUUGGGACUGAGACACGGCCCAAACUCCUACGGGAGGCAGCAGUGGGGAAUAUUGCACAAUGGGGGAAACCCUGAUGCAGCAACGCCGCGUGAGUGAAGAAGUCAUUCGUGAUGUAAAGCUCUAUCAGCAGGGAAGAAAAUGACGGUACCUGAGUAAGAAGCCCCGGCUAACUACGUGCCAGCAGCCGCGGUAAUACGUAGGGGGCAAGCGUUAUCCGGAUUUACUGGGUGUAAAGGGAGCGUAGACGGCCAUGCAAGUCUGAAGUGAAAUGCCAGUGCUCAACACUGGAACUGCUUUGGAAACUGUAAGGCUGGAGUGCGGGAGAGGUAAGUGGAAUUCCUAGUGUAGCGGUGAAAUGCGUAGAUAUUAGGAGGAACACCAGUGGCGAAGGCGGCUUACUGGACCGUAACUGACGUUGAGGCUCGAAAGCGUGGGGAGCAAACAGGAUUAGAUACCCUGGUAGUCCACGCGGUAAACGAUGAUUACUAGGUGUUGGGGGGUAAUAACCCUUCGGUGCCGUCGCAAACGCA
This 847-nucleotide ribosomal RNA is filed under the name uncultured Bacillota bacterium. Its description in RNAcentral is "bacterial SSU rRNA". It matches the Rfam family "Bacterial small subunit ribosomal RNA", at positions 1 to 859 of the family's 1533-position model. Lineage: Bacteria; Bacillati; Bacillota. The record is from RNAcentral.